Canis lupus familiaris (dog) is the source of this 1403-nucleotide long non-coding RNA. RefSeq lists it as uncharacterized. NCBI's taxonomy places the organism in Eukaryota, Metazoa, Chordata, Mammalia, Carnivora, Canidae. The record is from RefSeq and is a predicted model, not a curated record. The transcript is spliced from 3 exons.
CAAAGAGUGCUGUUUCUGGUUCUUUCUUUUGUGGUGAGUUCCUCCUUCUAGUCAUUUUGCUCAGUUGCAGAGUGGCUGUAUGAGUGGGCUGAGUCCAGAAUAUUAACCACAACCGAAGUAAAUUCCACCCUAGAUGAUUCUGACGAGGGACGCUGAGUGAAUGAGGUGAUUCCUAGGAAGAAAUAAAGCCAUCUUGACCAGCAGUGAUCUGAGGUUUAUUCAUAUAUAUCAAGAACAUUUAUGCCUGCGCAGAAAGAAGUUAACAUCAGUGACUCAACAAUAGGGGCAGAGGAGUUUGGAAUUCUAAAAGUCUAAAAGACUAAACUGAGGUUUAGUGCCUUGAAAAAACUUAGAUAUUACAAAAAUACCUUUUGUUACCUGAGCUUACCCCAUAGGACAUGAAAACAUGAUUUUUUUUUCUUAGCAAAUUCAAUUUAAGAAAUCAGCCACAAAUUGUGUGUGGAUUGCUCUGAAUUCCCAUCCAAAUGUGGAACUCUAUGGCUGGCUGAGAACUUCUCAGAACGUGGAGUGCCUGGCUAACCAAAUUCACAGAGAGGUCUCCCAUGCAGAGGUAUGAGGAGCCAAGGCAGCUGAAACCUCAACUUGAGUGUUGUCCUAGAGGGGAAAGAAUGCAUAUGCCAACUUUUUUAUGGAUAUUCAGCAAAAUAAAUGUUUUGAAAACCAAAAUAGAUUAGUUUGACAAAUGUGCAAUACAUGAUUUGCAGAGAAAAAUAGGAUAGUGACAAAGUGUGACAUAUACUGAUAUCUUAGAAAAAAUGCUAGAGCUACUACCUAAGGUAAACUUAAACUGGUUGAUGGGUAAUUCAAAAAUAUCUGUGGUAGAGAAGGGACAAUAUGAGGGAAGCCAUGGUUCCUACCCCUGUGGAGCCCAUGACCUAGUAGAGGAACUGGGCAAAUUGUCACAAUGCAAAGAGAUAAGCACUAUGUGUGUCCCAUGUGGUAGGCUGAGCAGCAGGAGCACUCCCUUUUGCAAGUUUUUUUAGGGUAGGUGGAGAUAGGAUGAAUGUACUAGCCCUACCCUGUAGGAAAUUGGAAAGGUGAGCCGAAGCCAUUUUACAAACGGUAUUUGCAUUAAGAAGUGUAGCUUUGAUACUGUAAAUUAGUUGUUUUUGAAUAUUUUUUGCUCAAGAAUCUCAGAAGCCUACUUCUCCCAUGUACAUUUCUCAUGGAACUUCAAACAUUUUUUGUCAUAAGUUUUUUUUUAAGCAUAAGCUUAACUGCAAAAGGUAUCAUUCCUGUUAUGUUGUAAAUAUUGACAACUGUUGGGGAUUUACCCCAAAGAUACAAAUGCAAUGAAACGCCGGGACACCUGCACCCCGAUGUUUAUAGCAGCAAUGGCCACGAUAGCCAAACUGUGGAAGGAGCCUCGGUGUCCAACGAAA